RNAcentral lists this ribosomal RNA (253 nucleotides) under uncultured bacterium. RNAcentral's name for it is "partial 16S ribosomal RNA". It matches the Rfam family "Bacterial small subunit ribosomal RNA", at positions 524 to 776 of the family's 1533-position model. The record is from RNAcentral.
UACGGGGGGUGCAAGCGUUAUCCGGAAUAAUUGGGCGUAAAGCGUCUGUAGGUGGCUAUCCAAGUCAACUGUCAAACAUCAGGGCUUAACCUUGAGCCGGCAUUUGAAACUAGGUAGCUUGAGUUAGGUAGGGGCAGAGGGAAUUCCUAGUGUAGCGGUGAAAUGCGUAGAUAUUAGGAAGAACACCAAUCGCGAAAGCACUCUGCUGGGCCAUAACUGACACUGAGAGACGAAAGCUAGGGGAGCGAAUGGG